AUGAAAUCGGUCCUGGAUCGUCAUGGCGUUGAGGUCGAUGCCAACUUGGUUAAUUCUGAAGAGGAAAAUGUAAUUGGCGAUCCUGAAGAGGAUAAUGUAACUGGCGAUCCUGAAGAGGAUAAUGUAACUGGCGGUCCUGAAGAGAUGCUGUCAAAGACCGAGGUAGAAAAAUUGCUGGCUGAUGCAGAUCGCUAUGAAGAUAAGCUCGAUAAGCGGACUUGCUUGGACAUGUACCAAACAAUUGUGUGGGGCUAUGGAAUUAGGCUUCAGGCACUAGAACAGUUGGGUUCCAUGGUCAAGGAGGCAAAAAAAGGUUUGAAGCUGCACCAGGGGCCCAUGGUCAAGGAGGCAGAACAAGAAUUGAAGCUGCAACCUGAGGGGGUACAUGGUCAAGUAGGCAAAAGAAAAUUUGAAGCUGCACCAGGGGUGUUGGAUGCAGCAGAUGGAUUGAGACAGAAAACAAAAAUUUAG
RNAcentral lists this ribosomal RNA (471 nucleotides) under Triticum aestivum (bread wheat). RNAcentral describes it as "partial small subunit ribosomal RNA". The record is from RNAcentral. Lineage: Eukaryota; Viridiplantae; Streptophyta; Magnoliopsida; Poales; Poaceae.